GAGUUUGAUCUUGGCUCAGGAUGAACGCUAGCGGCAGGCCUAACACAUGCAAGUCGAGGGGCAGCACAUGAAGCAGCAAUGUGGAUGGUGGCGACCGGCGCACGGGUGAGUAACAGGUAUGCAAUCUGCCGCCAACCGGGGAAUAACCCGUCGAAAGGCGGACUAAUACCGCAUAAGACCACAGAUAGGCAUCUAUCGGGGGUAAAAGAUUUAUCGGUUGGCGAUGAGCAUGCUCGUCAUUAGGUAGUUGGUAGGGUAAUAGCCUACCAAGCCUACGAUGAUUAGGGGUUCUGAGAGGAAGGUCCCCCACACCGGAACUGAGACACGGUCCGGACUCCUACGGGAGGCAGCAGUGAGGAAUAUUGGUCAAUGGGCGAGAGCCUGAACCAGCCAUGCCGCGUGAAGGAAGACGGUUUUAUGAAUUGUAAACUUCUUUUGCAGGGGAACAAUAAGUGGUACGUGUACCAUGAUGCGGGUACCUUGCGAAUAAGCAUCGGCUAACUCCGUGCCAGCAGCCGCGGUAAUACGGAGGAUGCAAGCGUUAUCCGGAUUUAUU
This 556-nucleotide ribosomal RNA is filed under the name uncultured Bacteroidota bacterium. RNAcentral describes it as "bacterial SSU rRNA". It matches the Rfam family "Bacterial small subunit ribosomal RNA", at positions 9 to 555 of the family's 1533-position model. Lineage: Bacteria; Pseudomonadati; Bacteroidota. The record is from RNAcentral.